UUCCGGUUGAUCCUGCCGGAGGUCACUGCUAUUGGGGUUCGACUAAGCCAUGCGAGUCCAAGGUUAAGCACUCGGCAGACGGCUCAAUAACACGUGGGUAAUCUACCCUCAGGACAGGGAUAACCCCGGGAAACUGGGGAUAAUACCUGAUAGGUGGAGAGAUCUGGAAUGCUCUCCGCCGAAAGCUCCGGCGCCUGAGGAUGAGCCUGCGCCCGAUUAGGUUGUUGGCGGUGUAACGGACCACCAAGCCUUAGAUCGGUACGGGCACUGAGAGGUGGAGCCCGGAGAUGGGGGCUGAGACACGGCCCCAGGCCCUACGGGGCGCAGCAGGCGCGAAAACUCCGCAAUACGCGCAAGCGUGACGGGGGAACCCCAAGUGCCUCUUUUUGGUGAGGCUUUUUCAGAGUGUAAACAGCUCUGAGAAUAAAAGCGGGGUAAGACCGGUGCCAGCCGCCGCGGUAACACCGGCCGCUCAAGUGGUGACCGCUAUUAUUGGGCCUAAAGCGUCCGUAGCCUGUUCGGUAAGUCCUUGGGUAAAUCCUGCCGUUUAACGGUAGGAAUUCUGGGGAUACUGCCGGACUCGGGGUCGAGAGAAGUCGGAGGUACUCCGGGGGUAGCGGUGAAAUGCUGUAAUCCUCGGGGGACCACCAGUGGCGAAGGCGUCCGACUAGAGCGGGCCCGACGGUGAGGGACGAAAGCCAGGGGAGCGAACGGGAUUAGAUACCCCGGUAGUCCUGGCCGUAAACGCUGUGGGCUAGGUGUUGCAUGCUCUACGAGGGCAUGCAGUGCCGUAGAGAAGUUGAUAAGCCUACCGCCUGGGAAGUACUACCGCAAGGUAGAAACUUAAAGGAAUUGGCGGGGGAGCACCACAAGGGGUGAAGUCUGCGGUUCAAUUGGAUUCAACGCCGGA
This 910-nucleotide ribosomal RNA is filed under the name uncultured archaeon. RNAcentral describes it as "bacterial SSU rRNA". It matches the Rfam family "Archaeal small subunit ribosomal RNA", at positions 1 to 922 of the family's 1478-position model. The record is from RNAcentral.